GAUGAACGCUGGCGGCGUGCCUAAUACAUGCAAGUCGAGCGAACGGACGAGAAGCUUGCUUCUCUGAUGUUAGCGGCGGACGGGUGAGUAACACGUGGAUAACCUACCUAUAAGACUGGGAUAACUUCGGGAAACCGGAGCUAAUACCGGAUAAUAUUUUGAACCGCAUGGUUCAAAAGUGAAAGACGGUCUUGCUGUAACUUAUAGAUGGAUCCGCGCUGCAUUAGCUAGUUGGUAAGGUAACGGCUUACCAAGGCAACGAUGCAUAGCCGACCUGAGAGGGUGAUCGGCCACACUGGAACUGAGACACGGUCCAGACUCCUACGGGAGGCAGCAGUAGGGAAUCUUCCGCAAUGGGCGAAAGCCUGACGGAGCAACGCCGCGGGAGUGAUGAAGGUCUUCGGAUCGUAAAACUCUGUUAUUAGGGAAGAACAUAUGUGUAAGUAACUGUGCACAUCUUGACGGUACCUAAUCAGAAAGCCACGGCUAACUACGUG
This 497-nucleotide ribosomal RNA is filed under the name uncultured bacterium. RNAcentral's name for it is "partial 16S ribosomal RNA". It matches the Rfam family "Bacterial small subunit ribosomal RNA", at positions 28 to 507 of the family's 1533-position model. The record is from RNAcentral.